Molecule: ribosomal RNA, 1445 nt
Filed under: uncultured marine cyanobacterium
Lineage: Bacteria; Bacillati; Cyanobacteriota
Description: bacterial SSU rRNA
Rfam family: Bacterial small subunit ribosomal RNA
Source: RNAcentral
GAGUUUGAUCCUGGCUCAGGAUGAACGCUGGCGGCGUGCUUAACACAUGCAAGUCGAACGAACCUUCGGGUUAGUGGCGGACGGGUGAGUAACGCGUGAGAAUCUGCCCUCAGGAGGGGGAUAACAGCUGGAAACGGCUGCUAAUACCCCAUAUGCCGCGAGGUGAAAUGAAUUUCGCCUGAGGAUGAGCUCGCGUCUGAUUAGCUAGUUGGUGUGGGUAAUGGCUCACCAAGGCAUCGAUCAGUAGCUGGUCUGAGAGGAUGAUCAGCCACACUGGGACUGAGACACGGCCCAGACUCCUACGGGAGGCAGCAGUGGGGAAUUUUCCGCAAUGGGCGAAAGCCUGACGGAGCAACGCCGCGUGAGGGAUGAAGGCCUCUGGGCUGUAAACCUCUUUUAUCAAGGAAGAAGAUCUGACGGUACUUGAUGAAUAAGCCACGGCUAAUUCCGUGCCAGCAGCCGCGGUAAUACGGGAGUGGCAAGCGUUAUCCGGAAUUAUUGGGCGUAAAGCGUCCGCAGGCGGCCCUUCAAGUCUGCUGUUAAAAAGUGGAGCUUAACUCCAUCAUGGCAGUGGAAACUGAGGGGCUUGAGUGUGGUAGGGGCAGAGGGAAUUCCCGGCGUAGCGGUGAAAUGCGUAGAUAUCGGGAAGAACACCAGUGGCGAAGGCGCUCUGCUGGGCCAUCACUGACGCUCAUGGACGAAAGCCAGGGGAGCGAAAGGGAUAGAUACCCCUGUAGUCCUGGCCGUAAACGAUGUACACUAGGUGUCGGGGGAAUCGACCCCCUCGGUGUCGUAGCCAACGCGUUAAGUGUUCCGCCUGGGGAGUACGCACGCAAGUGUGAAACUCAAAGGAAUUGACGGGGGGCCCGCACAAGCGGUGGAGUAUGUGUUUAAUUCGAUGCAACGCGAAGAACCUUACCAGGGUUUGACCUCUUGCGAAUCUCUUGGAAACGAGAGAGUUCCUUCGGGAGCGCAGUGACAGGUGGUGCAUGGCUGUCGUCAGCUUGUGUUGUGAGAUGUUGGGUUAAGUCCCGCAACGAGCGCAACCCACGUCUUUAGUUGCCAGCAUUUAGUUGGGCACUCUAGAGAGACCGCCGGUGAUAAACCGGAGGAAGGUGUGGAUGACGUCAAGUCAUCAUGCCCCUUACAUCCUGGGCUACACACGUACUACAAUGAUACGGACAAAGGGCAGCAAGUUCGCGAGGACAAGCAAAUCCCAUAAACCGUGGCUCAGUUCAGAUUGUAGGCUGCAACUCGCCUACGUGAAGGAGGAAUCGCUAGUAAUCGCAGGUCAGCAUACUGCGGUGAAUACGUUCCCGGGCCUUGUUCACACCGCCCGUCACACCAUGGAAGUUGGCCACGCCCGAAGCCGUUACUCCAACCCUUGUGGAGGAGGACGUCGAAGGUGGGGCUGAUGACUGGGGUGAAGUCGUAACAAGGUAACC